GGCCCCAUGGUCUAGUGGCCUAGGACGCCGCCCUCUCACGGCGGUAACAGGGGUUCGAAUCCCCUUGGGGCUACCA
Molecule: transfer RNA, 76 nt
Filed under: Bacillota bacterium
Lineage: Bacteria; Bacillati; Bacillota
Also listed under: 1 other name
Description: tRNA-Glu
Rfam family: tRNA
About the family: Transfer RNA (tRNA) molecules are approximately 80 nucleotides in length. Their secondary structure includes four short double-helical elements and three loops (D, anti-codon, and T loops).
Source: RNAcentral